Non-coding RNA from Danio rerio (zebrafish), 1141 nucleotides. Lineage: Eukaryota; Metazoa; Chordata; Actinopteri; Cypriniformes; Danionidae. The record is from Ensembl.
GUGAGAAACCGCCAUUUUCUUUGCGCUGUCUUUGAGGGGAAGCGAGUGAAAUUCUGUGUGAGACGUAAGUUAUUUAGUGUGUUUUUAACAAUUUUCAUAAGAAAUAACACACUUAGUUUACUUAGUAUAAUAUACACGCGCUUUUUUUUCUGUUUCUCCGCCUGAUGGCCGACUUGUUGCUCCGCCUCACGCUGACCUGUGCUCGCCUUAUGGCUGAACUGUUGCUCCGAGUCCGCCUGACGAGCCACCUGUUUCUCCGGAUCUGUUUCUCCGCCUAACGGCGACGUGUUUCUCCGGACCUGUUUCUCCGGACCUGUUUCUCCGGACCUGUUUCUCCGCCUAACGCCCGAGCUGUUGCUCCGCCUAACUCCUGACCUGUGCUCGCCUCACGCCCGACAUGUUGCUCCACCUCACGCCCAGCCUGUUGAUCGGUGGACGGGUAAGCGCGCAUGGCAUCGGAAGGAGCUCGAAAAGUAUAAGGUGAUGACAGUAAGUAACGUUACUGUGAUUUGUGAUCUUUCUGGGGUGUUAACUGUAAAGCAAUGGAUAAUUGCGUGAAAAUUAAACUAAAAGAAUGCAAUCUUGAGGAGUUAAUCCCCACAUUUGAAGCACAGGAGCGAACCUUUCCUCGUUUUUAGGUCAAUUUGAAUACAAUUCAGAGGGGUGGCAUGGGGGCGCAGUGGGUAGUGCUGUCGCAUCACAGCAAGAUGGUCGCUGGUUUGAGCCUUGGAUGGGUUUCCCCUCCACAGUCCAAUGACAUGCGGUGUAGCUGAAUUGGAUUGGGACCAAUAUUGCUGAGUAUCUUCAUCCAUUGAAUUCAAGAAUCUAUUGAGUUUCCUCAUGUUCUCAUCCUUGGAGACCACCACUUCUUUCAAGCCUUUGCUCACGUGCUGUGCUAUUUAUUAUUGCAAAGUACAUUACUUGCCAAAGUGGACGUUUGCUAUAAAGCAUUCUACAUCUUUGGUGUGAACUACCCCAAGCAGUGUUCCCUGGUGUGGCAGACUGUGGUUUAUGGACAUCCUGGGGAGGAGACACUAGCAGUAAGGGUUCUGCUAGCAUUAAUUUUUGCUGACAAACAGUAAUAAUUAAUACUGUGACCUCACUGCUUCCUUGGAUUCUGUGUUCUUUAACUUGUACUUUG